AGACGUGAAAUUCCUGGGCUCAACCUGGGGGCUGCGUAUGAUACGUGCUGUCUGGAGUUCGGAAGAGGGUCGUGGAAUUCCCAGUGUAGAGGUGAAAUUCGUAGAUAUUGGGAAGAACACCGGUGGCGAAGGCGGCGACCUGGUCCGAUACUGACGCUGAGGCGCGAAAGCGUGGGGAGCAAACGCGAUUAGAUACCCUGGUAGUCCACGCCGUAAACGAUGGGCACUAGGUGCUUGGGGGAGCGACCCCCUGAGUGCCGGCGCUAACGCAUUAAGUGCCCCGCCUGGGGAGUACGGCCGCAAGGCUAAACUCAAAGGAAUUGACGGGGGCCCGCACAAGCGGUGGAGCAUGUGGUUUAAUUCGACGCAACGGGUAGAACCUUACCUGGGCUUGACAUGGACCGGAUCGCCUCUGGAACAGGGGCUUCCCUUCGGGGCCGGUUCACAGGUGCUGCAUGGCUGUCGUCAGCUCGUGUCGUGAGAUGUUG
Molecule: ribosomal RNA, 488 nt
Filed under: uncultured bacterium
Lineage: Bacteria
Description: bacterial SSU rRNA
Rfam family: Bacterial small subunit ribosomal RNA
Source: RNAcentral